Molecule: ribosomal RNA, 245 nt
Filed under: uncultured Gammaproteobacteria bacterium
Lineage: Bacteria; Pseudomonadati; Pseudomonadota; Gammaproteobacteria
Description: partial 16S ribosomal RNA
Rfam family: Bacterial small subunit ribosomal RNA
Source: RNAcentral
CUCUAAGGAGACUGCCGGUGACAAACCGGAGGAAGGUGGGGACGACGUCAAGUCAUCAUGGCCCUUAUGACCAGGGCUACACACGUGCUACAAUGGAGCGUACAGAGGGUUGCUAAGCCGCGAGGUGGAGCCAAUCCCAGAAAACGUUUCGUAGUCCGGAUCGAAGUCUGCAACUCGACUUCGUGAAGUCGGAAUCGCUAGUAAUCGCGAAUCAGCAUGUCGCGGUGAAUACGUUCCCGGGCCUU